AUUGAACGCUGGCGGCAUGCCUUACACAUGCAAGUCGAACGGCAGUACGGGUGCUUGCACCUGGUGGCGAGUGGCGAACGGGUGAGUAAUAUAUCGGAACGUACCUUAUUGUGGGGGAUAACGCAGCGAAAGCUGUGCUAAUACCGCAUAAUCCCUAAGGGGGAAAGCGGGGGACCGUAAGGCCUCGCGCAAUUAGAGCGGCCGAUACCUGAUUAGCUAGUUGGUGAGGUAAAGGCUCACCAAGGCAACGAUCAGUAGCUGGUCUGAGAGGACGAUCAGCCACACUGGGACUGAGACACGGCCCAGACUCCUACGGGAGGCAGCAGUGGGGAAUGUUGGACAAUGGGGGCAACCCUGAUCCAGCAAUGCCGCGUGAGUGAAGAAGGCCUUCGGGUUGUAAAGCUCUUUUGUCGGGGAAGAAACAGCAGCUCUAACACAGUUUGCGAAUGACGGUACCUGAAGAAUAAGCACCGGCUAACUACGUGCCAGCAGCCGCCGUAA
Molecule: ribosomal RNA, 501 nt
Filed under: uncultured bacterium
Lineage: Bacteria
Description: partial 16S ribosomal RNA
Rfam family: Bacterial small subunit ribosomal RNA
Source: RNAcentral